RNAcentral lists this small RNA (877 nucleotides) under Pongo abelii (Sumatran orangutan). Its description in RNAcentral is "processed transcript". The record is from RNAcentral. Lineage: Eukaryota; Metazoa; Chordata; Mammalia; Primates; Hominidae.
GGCGAGCCUCUCACUCGCCACCUCCUCUUCCACCCCUGCCAGGCCCAGCAGCCACCACAGUGCCUGCUUCCUCGGCCCUGAAAUCAUGCCCCUAGGUCUCCUGUGGCUGGGCCUAGCCCUGUUGGGGGCUCUGCAUGCCCAGGCCCAGGACUCCACCUCAGACCUGAUCCCGGCCCCGCCUCUGAGCAAGGUCCCUCUGCAGCAGAACUUCCAGGACAACCAGGUGAGGGCCGACAUCUCCUGGGGGUGUGAGAGUCAGACUGAUGUCACAGACAAGGGAUGGCCAAAGCUGAGGGAUCCUGUCAUUCACCUCACUGUUCUGCCCAGAAUUCAUCUGUGUUCAUCCUUCCUCUGUUCCUUAGAGCAACGUUUAUAGCACAUUUGCAUGCAGACACACAGACAGUGGAAAAAGAAGUGUGACUACUGGAUCAGGACUUUUGUUCCAGGUUCCCAGCCCGGCGAGUUCACGCUGGGCAACACUAAGGGUUACCCGGGAUUAACGAGUUACCUCGUCCGAGUGGUGAGCACCAACUACAACCAGUAUGCCAUGGUGUUCUUCAAGAAAGUUUCUCAAAACAGGGAGUACUUCAAGAUCACCCUCUACGGGAGAACCAAGGAGCUGACUUCGGAACUAAAGGAGAACUUCAUCCGCUUCUCCAAAUCUCUGGGCCUCCCUGAAAACCACAUCGUCUUCCCUGCCCCAAUCGACCAGUGUAUCGACGGCUGAGUGCACAGGUGCCACCAGCUGCCGCACCAGCCCGGACACCAUUGAAGGAGCUGGGAGACCCUCCCCACAGUGCUACCCACCCAGCUGCUCCCCAGGCCACCCCACUGAUGGAGCCCCACCUUGUCUGCUAAAUAAACAUGAACCCCCAGA